CACGUAGGAGGCGAGCGUUAUCCGGAUUUACUGGGUGUAAAGCGCGUGCAGGCGGUUGACUAAGUUGGGUGUGAAAGCUCCUGGCUUAACUGGGAGAGGUCGCUCAAGACUGGUCGACUGGAGAGCAGGAAGGGAAGGUGGAAUUCCGGGUGUAGUGGUGAAAUGCGUAGAUAUCCGGAGGAACACCAGUGGCGAAAGCGGCCUUCUGGACUGCAUCUGACGCUCAGACGCGAAAGCUAGGGGAG
Molecule: ribosomal RNA, 245 nt
Filed under: uncultured bacterium
Lineage: Bacteria
Description: partial 16S ribosomal RNA
Rfam family: Bacterial small subunit ribosomal RNA
Source: RNAcentral